AGUGAACGCUGGCGGCGUGCUUAACACAUGCAAGUCGAACGAGAACGGGUUAUAGCUUGCUAUAAUUGUCAGCUAAGUGGCGCACGGGUGAGUAAUGUAUAGGUAAUAUGCCUCUUACUAAGGGAUAACAAAUGGAAACGUUUGCUAAUACCUUAUACUCCUUAUUAACAGAAGUUAAUAAGGGAAAGAUUUAUUGGUAAGAGAUUAGCCUGUAUUGUAUCAGUUAGUUGGUGGGGUAAUGGCUUACCAAGACUAUGACACAUAACUGGUUUGAGAGGAUGAUCAGUCACACUGGAACUGAGACACGGUCCAGACUCCUACGGGAGGCAGCAGUGGGGAAUAUUGCACAAUGGACGAAAGUCUGAUGCAGCAACGCCGCGUGGAGGAUGACACAUUUCGGUGCGUAAACUCCUUUUAUAUGAGAAGAUAAUGACGGUAUUAUAUGAAUAAGCACCGGCUAACUCCGUGCCAGCAGCCGCGGUAA
RNAcentral lists this ribosomal RNA (484 nucleotides) under uncultured bacterium. RNAcentral describes it as "bacterial SSU rRNA". It matches the Rfam family "Bacterial small subunit ribosomal RNA", at positions 29 to 523 of the family's 1533-position model. The record is from RNAcentral.